GAUGAACGCCGGCGGUGUGCCUAAUACAUGCAAGUCGUACGCACUGGCCCAACUGAUUAAUGGUGCUUGCACCUGAUUGACGAUGGAUCACCAGUGAGUGGCGGACGGGUGAGUAACACGUAGGUAACCUGCCCCGGAGCGGGGGAUAACAUUUGGAAACAGAUGCUAAUACCGCAUAACAACAAAAGCCACAUGGCUUUUGUUUAAAAGAUGGCUUUGGCUAUCACUCUGGGAUGGACCUGCGGUGCAUUAGCUAGUUGGUAAGGUAACGGCUUACCAAGGCGAUGAUGCAUAGCCGAGUUGAGAGACUGAUCGGCCACAAUGGAACUGAGACACGGUCCAUACUCCUACGGGAGGCAGCAGUAGGGAAUCUUCCACAAUGGGCGCAAGCCUGAUGGAGCAACACCGCGUGAGUGAAGAAGGGUUUCGGCUCGUAAAGCUCUGUUGUUGGAGAAGAACGUGCGUGAGAGUAACUGUUCACGCAGUGACGGUAUCCAACCAGAAAGUCACGGCUAACUACGUGCCAGCAGCCGCGGUAAUACGUAGGUGGCAAGCGUUAUCCGGAUUUAUUGGGCGUAAAGCGAGCGCAGGCGGUUGCUUAGGUCUGAUGUGAAAGCCUUCGGCUUAACCGAAGAAGUGCAUCGGAAACCGGGCAACUUGAGUGCAGAAGAGGACAGUGGAACUCCAUGUGUAGCGGUGGAAUGCGUAGAUAUAUGGAAGAACACCAGUGGCGAAGGCGGCUGUCUGGUCUGCAACUGACGCUGAGGCUCGAAAGCAUGGGUAGCGAACAGGAUUAGAUACCCUGGUAGUCCAUGCCGUAAACGAUGAGUGCUAGGUGUUGGAGGGUUUCCGCCCUUCAGUGCCGGAGCUAACGCAUUAAGCACUCCGCCUGGGGAGUACGACCGCAAGGUUGAAACUCAAAGGAAUUGACGGGGGCCCGCACAAGCGGUGGAGCAUGUGGUUUAAUUCGAAGCUACGCGAAGAACCUUACCAGGUCUUGACAUCUUGCGCUAACCUUAGAGAUAAGGCGUUCCCUUCGGGGACGCAAUGACAGGUGGUGCAUGGUCGUCGUCAGCUCGUGUCGUGAGAUGUUGGGUUAAGUCCCGCAACGAGCGCAACCCUUGUUACUAGUUGCCAGCAUUAAGUUGGGCACUCUAGUGAGACUGCCGGUGACAAACCGGAGGAAGGUGGGGACGACGUCAGAUCAUCAUGCCCCUUAUGACCUGGGCUACACACGUGCUACAAUGGACGGUACAACGAGUCGCAAGCUCGCGAGAGUAAGCUAAUCUCUUAAAGCCGUUCUCAGUUCGGACUGUAGGCUGCAACUCGCCUACACGAAGUCGGAAUCGCUAGUAAUCGCGGAUCAGCAUGCCGCGGUGAAUACGUUCCCGGGCCUUGUACACACCGCCCGUCACACCAUGGGAGUUUGUAACGCCCAAAGUCGGUGGCCUAACCUUUAUGGAGGGAGCCGCCUAAGGCGGGACAGAUGACUGGGGUGAAGUCGU
RNAcentral lists this ribosomal RNA (1505 nucleotides) under Limosilactobacillus reuteri. Its description in RNAcentral is "Lactobacillus reuteri partial 16S ribosomal RNA". It matches the Rfam family "Bacterial small subunit ribosomal RNA". Lineage: Bacteria; Bacillati; Bacillota; Bacilli; Lactobacillales; Lactobacillaceae. The record is from RNAcentral.